UAAUAGUGUUAAAAUAUUAUAAAAAACUAAGGUCUUCAUUUGUUCUUACUUGGGUUUUUUUUUAUAGCAUUUAUUCUGGUUUCCCAAAAUAGUUUUCUGUUAGAUCCCGUUAAAUUGUCAUUGAUAUAAUUUCUUGAUCCUUUGCAUUCUAGUUUUUCGCGUUUUUUUAUAAAUUUGUUAAGUUUUCGUUUAGAUAAAAGUUCAACCAUUUUCAAAGGCGAUUCUAGGUUUUGAUUCG
This is a non-coding RNA of Cinara cedri, 238 nucleotides long. The record is from the annotation of a GenBank genome assembly. NCBI's taxonomy places the organism in Eukaryota, Metazoa, Arthropoda, Insecta, Hemiptera, Aphididae.